CAGUGGUUAACAUGAUUGCUUGCUGACAAUUAUUAUAGGCAUCCCAACUGAACCUCGGCGUUCAAUCAUGAUGGCUUUAUUUUGCUGCAGUGUGGCUCUCCUUUGCAUAGCUGUUUCUGCCAUUGUGGCACAAGAAGGUCUAUAUACACUGCAAAUGUUUGCCCUGGAACCCCAGCAGCCUUGAUACCAGCAGGAAGGCCUGCCAUUAUGUGCAAGGGCAUGGGUGUGACCCUGAGUACAGCUGGGUUUCCUGGGAGAUGGGCAGCCAUCUACCGUGCAUGUCCUUACUCUGGAAUGGCUGCCGUUGAUGUGAUUUGAGAUAAUGUGUCGCUUUUUCUUGGUUUUAUUCUCACUUGUUAUCUAACAAGAACCUAAGGUCAAGCACAUUAAACUUGACUGUGCCAUGAGUUUAAACUUUAUUUUGCAAGCAGGUCAUUGUGCUGAUGUGAUGCAAGUAAAUGGGUUGAAGCCUUUUAUUAAACCAAGCGCGCUUGUAUAGUUCAACUAUGCUUAAAAGGAGAUCAGAAAUCCAUGGAUUGUGCUAGACUUGUCUUCAUGA
Molecule: long non-coding RNA, 559 nt
Organism: Oncorhynchus keta (chum salmon)
Lineage: Eukaryota; Metazoa; Chordata; Actinopteri; Salmoniformes; Salmonidae
Exons: 3
Source: RefSeq, a predicted model, not a curated record